RNAcentral lists this ribosomal RNA (494 nucleotides) under uncultured Bacillota bacterium. Its description in RNAcentral is "bacterial SSU rRNA". It matches the Rfam family "Bacterial small subunit ribosomal RNA", at positions 1 to 504 of the family's 1533-position model. Lineage: Bacteria; Bacillati; Bacillota. The record is from RNAcentral.
CGAUUGAGAGUUUGAUCCUGGCUCAGGACGAACGCUGGCGGCGUGCCUAAUACAUGCAAGUCGAGCGAGGAGCCGGAAGGCGCAAGCCGGAAGGCGACUAGCGGCAGACGGGUGAGUAACACGUAGGGAACCUGCCUGAGAGACCGGGAUAGCUCCUGGAAACGGGAGGUAAUACCGGAUGAGCUUGCGGGAGGCAUCUUCUGCAAGGAAAGGGGGGGAACCCGCUUUCAGAGGGUCCUGCGGCCCAUCAGCUAGUUGGUGAGGUAGUGGCCCACCAAGGCGAUGACGGGUAGCCGGCCUGAGAGGGUGGACGGCCACACUGGGACUGAGAGACGGCCCAGACUCCUACGGGGGGCAGCAGUAGGGAAUCUUCCGCAAUGGGCGCAAGCCUGACGGAGCCACGCCGCGUGGGGGAAGAAGGCCUUCGGGUUGUAAACCCCUGUCUUCCAGGACGAGGAAGGACGGUACAGGAAGAGGAAGCCCCGGCUAACUAA